AUGAGGCCCUGUCCCGCCCUGUAUAGGAAGUUACGCCUGUUCCUGACCAGUUAUGCAGUUAGAAGCUGUCUCCACUCCUACACCGGAAGUCAGAUCCUGUCUCCACUCCUACACCGGGAGUCAGAUCCUGUCUCCAUCCUGUCACAGGAAGUCAGAUCUUGUCUCCAUCCUGUCACAGGAAGUCAGAUCCUGUCUCCAUCCUACACAGGAGUCAGAUCCUGUCUCCAUCCUACACAGGGAGUCAGAUCCUGUCUCCAUCCUGUCACAGGGAGUCAGAUCCUGUCUCCAUCCUGUCACAGGGAGUCAGAUCCUGUCUCCAUCCUACACAGGAGUCAGAUCCUGUCUCCAUCCUACACAGGAGUCAGAUCCUGUCUCCAUCCUACACAGGGAGUCAGAUCCUGUCUCCAUCCUACACAGGAGUCAGAUCCUGUCUCCAUCCUACACAGGGAGUCAGAUCCUGUCUCCAUCCUACACAGGGAGUCAGAUCCUGUCUCCAUCCUACACAGGGAGUCAGAUCCUGUCUCCAUCCUACACAGGGAGUCAGAUCCUGUCUCCAUCCUACACAGGAGUCAGAUCCUGUCUCCAUCCUACACAGGGAGUCAGAUCCUGUCUCCAUCCUACACAGGAGUCAGAUCCUGUCUCCAUCCUACACAGGGAGUCAGAUCCUGUCUCCAUCCUACACAGGGAGUCAGAUCCUGUCUCCAUCCUACACAGGGAGUCAGAUCCUGUCUCCAUCCUACACAGGG
RNAcentral lists this long non-coding RNA (746 nucleotides) under Oryctolagus cuniculus (rabbit). RNAcentral describes it as "lncRNA (ENSOCUG00000035365.1)". Lineage: Eukaryota; Metazoa; Chordata; Mammalia; Lagomorpha; Leporidae. The record is from RNAcentral.